UACACCCCUAGUCCCAGUAGGGGUUUAAAGCAAGAGCUGUGCAUAUUAGAAACGCGGCGGGGAAGCUCCACGAGCCACUUAAAGCCCCGCACUCCCUCCCACAGAGACGCUGGAGUAGUGAGAGUGGUCCAGGAGGACCAAGGAUGCUGCAGCCGACCUGCCUGUGCCAGAGGCGGUGGGAAUGGCUGGGAGGACUGCAGAGAAAGCAUUUUGAGGCAUCCCUGCCAAAGAGUGGGUCAAUUCAGUUUAACUCAGACUAGAGAGAGCGUAGAAUACCAAGGAGAUCUGCACACCUCAAGCCCCACACAUCCAAAUCGACCCUCAUAUCCCUCGUCUGCUCCCUUGUCUCAAGCAGAAACCAGAGAGCUAUCUCCACUGCAGCCAUCGUGAAAUCUGUGAGAUUAAAAAGCCUGUUAAAUUUACUAAAUAUUCGACUCUUGUUUUUAUUCAACGCAUUAAAUAUUUAAGCCACUA
Molecule: long non-coding RNA, 474 nt
Organism: Peromyscus californicus insignis
Lineage: Eukaryota; Metazoa; Chordata; Mammalia; Rodentia; Cricetidae
Exons: 2
Source: RefSeq, a predicted model, not a curated record